UCUGAAACACUCCAAUUCAUGCGUUAUUAGUUAUAAAGCACUUAUGAAUAUUGUAAAAAUUAUUUUAAAGUGAUUUCAUUUCACAAUUUUUGAUUUAAAAAUUUAUCACCACCAAAAGUACCAUAAAGCCGACCAUCCAUAAACAAAAAUUCACGGAAAUUUUUUUUAGAUAAAACAAGAAAUAAUUAACGCUGGACCACAGACCAAGCGAGGGUGGUGUGGCGAAGCAAAUAAAAAAGAAAAUAAAUCAAAACAAAAGCUCAGAAAAGAUGACAAAUAUGAACAAGAAAAAAUCAAAAAAAAAAUCAAAAAAAAAAAUGACAUAAAUAAAAAUCAACAGCGACUCCUCGAAAAAAGGAAGAAAACAACAAAACUAGCAAAGAAAAAAAUAACAAAAUGUUGCAACGAAAAUUUGGUGAAGAAAAAAUUCAUUACAAAUGGAAAUAAGUUGCCAAAAGUAAAUUGCAAUUUGCGUGCCCGAAAAGACAAGAGAAAGAAAUAGCUGCUGCAAAAUGGACAGGAGAAAGCGAGCAAUACAAAAAAAUAAGCUAAAAGUGAGUCCAAUUCCGACUAAUUUGUAAAUAUUAUUCUCCAUGCGAAACUUAACAUAUUGAACAUGCUUGGUGGCAAAAUGGGCGAAAUAAGGCAGUAACCACGUCUAACUUAUUUAUAUUUAUUGUGUUCGUAACUACUAGAAGCGAAAUAAUUCUUUAACGGAAAUCGUCAGAAUAAUUAUACUUUGGCAGCAUGUUGUAACAGAGGAUUAUAGUUUUGUCCACCUAACGGUUGUUUGUAUCACCUAAAAUUAAUCGAGAUAGUUUCGUGAUGUAACUUCGUACACGUGUUCCUUGGCACUCAAGUGGUAUUGGUAUUGCAGAUAUGCGGAAUUGGUCUACAAAUAUUGGCAGGCCCACAAAGUGCCGUUAAAAUAAAACGUACAAAGUGCCAUAGGUACGCACUAAAUUUAGAUGAAAAAUUGUAAUUUAGUAAAGAGGAUGGCAAUAUCAAAGAACAUCUGUCGGCUACAAUUUUUUUUCGAAAGGGCGUAGCAUCGUUUAUACGAGCAAAUAAAAAAUCGGGCAAUGGACGUGACACCGCCCACAUUUAGGGAAAUCCCACAUCUCUGGACCUACUACAGCAAUUUCAAACAAAUCCGUGUGUAUACAAGUCAAACAUCAACGAAGUUAUCAGAAUAAAAUAUUGUACAAAAAGCGCUUUCAAGG
This is a non-coding RNA of Bactrocera oleae (olive fruit fly), 1223 nucleotides long. The record is from RefSeq and is a predicted model, not a curated record. NCBI's taxonomy places the organism in Eukaryota, Metazoa, Arthropoda, Insecta, Diptera, Tephritidae.